This 410-nucleotide ribosomal RNA is filed under the name uncultured bacterium. RNAcentral's name for it is "bacterial SSU rRNA". It matches the Rfam family "Bacterial small subunit ribosomal RNA", at positions 370 to 772 of the family's 1533-position model. The record is from RNAcentral.
AAUGGGCGCAAGCCUGAUCCAGCCAUGCCGCGUGUCUGAAGAAGGCCUUCGGGUUGUAAAGGACUUUUGUUAGGGAGCAAGUCCUGCAGGUUAAGAGCUAGUAGGGAUGAGAGUACCUAAAGAAUAAGCACCGGCUAACUACGUGCCAGCAGCCGCGGUAAUACGUAGGGUGCAAGCGUUAAUCGGAAUUACUGGGCGUAAAGGGUGCGCAGGCGGUAUUGGAAGCCAGCUGUGAAAUCCCCGGGCUCAACCUGGGAACUGAGCUUGUGACUGCAAGACUAGAGUACGGCAGAGGGGGGUGGAAUUCCACGUGUAGCAGUGAAAUGCGUAGAGAUGUGGAGGAACACCAAUGGCGAAGGCAGCCCCCUGGGUCGAUACUGACGCUCAUGCACGAAAGCGUGGGGAGCAAA